AAUAAGUGGUACUUCACUUGUUUAAGCAACUCAGGAUCAGAAGACUGACAAUUCAUGUCAAGCGAUCACCACUAGGAGUGGUAAGAUUUUAUCUGGCCCUGCUAUCGACAAACUUGUAAAUAUUGAGGAAGUUGCAGAUGAACCAGCAAAACAACACCCAGAGAAGUAUGAGAAACUAAAUAGUUGUAUUGACUUGUCAGACAAGGAGAAAAAGAAGGAAGUGGUGUUGAAACCCAUGCCACGGCG
This 246-nucleotide long non-coding RNA is filed under the name Capsicum annuum. RNAcentral describes it as "long non-coding RNA (CANN_LNC006357)". The record is from RNAcentral. Lineage: Eukaryota; Viridiplantae; Streptophyta; Magnoliopsida; Solanales; Solanaceae.